RNAcentral lists this long non-coding RNA (2647 nucleotides) under Salmo salar (Atlantic salmon). RNAcentral's name for it is "lncRNA (ENSSSAG00000102184.1)". The record is from RNAcentral. Lineage: Eukaryota; Metazoa; Chordata; Actinopteri; Salmoniformes; Salmonidae.
GUUUCAAUGAGCAAGGCAGAGGCAAAAAGCGAUGGUGGAGAAAUGGCAAGAGCAGUGGAAUAGAGAUACUUAGGCCAGGCAUUUAUUUUCAAGUACAGAGGAAAGUUGGGGAGAACGGCAGGAAGGGACAGAAGAGAGGAGGCUUUAUUUACACGAUUAAUGGUGGGACACAGCUAGUUGAAUAAGACCUUACAUGUGAUAGGAAAGCAUCCAACAGGACAAUUACAGUAGGUGGCGGUAAUGCACCAUAACGUUGGAUGCCAACCGCCGAUAAACCCCACCCUAGAAGAAGUAGAGCUGGCUGGAUGAUUUUCGUCGCUGGCGUUGGAAAGUCAAGCAGCCUCAAUGUUGUUGUGAAAGGUGCAGUGUCCAGUGGGCUAACUGGCAUAGCCUGCACAGAUGAGCAGCGACAAUGGAAUGCAGGGACUCGGAGGAACCUUGAGCCAAAGCGGUUAAACAGCAUUGACUUCACACACUAUAAGGCCAGUGACCAAUAUGCAGAAAAGCGUCCCCUGCCUCCCACUCCUGUAUUCCACUCACAGGAGGAAUUGAAUAGGAGCCUGAGACACCUGAAUCUGCCUGUGGGGAGUCUGCUCUAUAAGUGGGUUAAUGCUGAACCAACAAUAACAUCACAGCCAGUAGCAUCCCAGCUAAAAUUUGGACUGAAAGGAAUAUUUAUUUGUGGCUGUACCAUUUUAAUGUAUUUGAAGAUAAUGAGCUGAUGGCCUCCCAGUGGCUGGAAGACUGUGGAUACUCUGUGGACCACAGAGGCACUGUUGUCAGUGUUGAAGAGCCAUGGCUAUCAUCAAGCCCUGACAGAGUGCUGAACUCCAAGGAGCUGUUGGAGAUCAAGUGUCCUGUCAUGGGGAAGGCUUCUAGGGCCCUAUGAUUUCCGCGAUGUGGAAAACGAACAGAAUCGCAGAAUUUGGUAAUAAAAAUGGAAUCAACUGUAGAAUGUGGAAUUUUGCAGAAUUUGGCUGAAAUUGAUUUAAAAAAAAAUCUAAAGUAGGCCUAAUUAUUGUAGUAACGUAAAUUAUUUCAUAAUUAUAGACGAUUAUGCCUAGGAAAAUAGUGUCCAUGUAACCGGUCUCUGUCAUGUCAUCAAUCUGGUGGGUGAGACCUGGCAGCACUACAAAUACUUCUCUGUAGUUGCAUCACUUGUGACAUGGAUGAGAUCUGUCUUCUUCAAGAAGCCUGGCAGAAAGAGAAGAUGGGUGAUGACAGCUCUGUCACUCCUGGAAAGAACCCACCAUCCCACAGCAGUGUCUGCAUACAAUGACAUGGAGGAUCUGGGCUCUUACCUAGUGAAUGGAACAGCAAAAACAUGUGGGUAUGGUGCCAAGACAGAUGAGCUAUUGAGAAAGAUGGGGAUUGGAGGGAGGUGCUUGACCGUCUCUGAUGCAUUCCACUUGGCCUUCAAAGUUGUCAAAACACUGGGACACACAUCCAGCGAGGGAGGUCUACAGGCUGGCUAGGGUGUUCGAUCCUAGGCAGGCUCCAGCCAUGGAAAAGCAGAUUGAAGGCUACACACAACUGAAACCCAUGGCAAGCCCAUCAUCAGAGCUCAGUGAAAAAUGUGUCCAGGGAGCCCUCACCUGCUUUGGAGCUUGCUGAUUACUGGAGGGGCCUGAGUGUGAGAUUCCCAAGAGUUGCAGAAGUGGCAGUGGCCUACAUCUACUUCCCACUCAGCUCAGUUGACUGUGAGAGGAGUUUCAGCAAAUACAAGACUACUUACAGACAAGCGAGAAGCACUCACUGAGCUCAAAACAGAGGCUGACAAUCAUGUACUUCAAUGGAGAUGUCAGUGAUAGAUGGAAAACUUACAAUGGACAGACAUAGGAGCUCAUAAGGUAGUUCCAUAGGUUUUUCUUAUUGCUGCAUUGUUGCCUAGAUUCUUGCAUUACCUUUUCUUUAAUGAAACACUUAGAACUCUGUACUGAAGCACUUGCCUUUAUUUUUUUUUUAAAUAGUGCAAUGUUGUGUUGCAUCAUUACAAAGGUACUGUUAUCUUAUUUGAUGUUUUAUUCAUUCAUAUUACUAGACACGCUUUCUGAUGAUAAAAUUAGCAUAAAUCGUAAAACAUAGAAUUCAGAAACAUUUUCACAGAAAAAUUGAAUUUGAGAAAAAAUAUAAUGGAAUUUUGAAAAAAUAAAACGGAUUUCAUAGGGCCCUAGGAAGGGCUGUGAUUCUCUGGAUGAUGUCUUCAAUGGGAAAGCCUGUGAUGUGAAGGUGGUGGGGGGCACACCCUAACUGCAACCACAUGGGCCACGUGGCUACUACAUGCAGCUGCAAAUUGGUAUGUUUUGCACAAGACUGAGACAAAGUAAGGUGCUCAUUUGGACUCUGUCCCGGCAAGUUGUCAUCCCCGUUCCCUAUGAUGCACAGGUCUGUGCAGAGGCUGUCCUGAGGUUGAAGGCAUUCUACUCAACACAUGCUGUCAUUUAUUGUUAAGAAGCAUCAGGCAGGCAGCUUGUCACUGAGUGACAAAUAUAUGCAGCUCUGUACACGUAUGUAGUUAGAUGUCUCUCCUGUUUGCAGUUACUAUUAACACAUUGUUUUUCAAUUAAAAAGCCUGACUUAAUGCAUCAACAGUCACAGUAUUGUGAAAAUUGUUUUUAUGGCUUUGUUUUUUAUUAAUAUUAAUGAG